AGAUUGAACGCUGGCGGCAUGCUUUACACAUGCAAGUCGAACGGGGUGAGGGGGCAACUCCUCAUUCAGUGGCGAACGGGUGAGUAAUGCAUCGGAACGUGUCCCGUAGUGGGGGAUAACCCGGCGAAAGCCGGACUAAUACCGCAUAUGCUCUACGGAGGAAAGUGGGGGACCGCAAGGCCUCACGCUAUGGGAGCGGCCGAUGUCCGAUUAGCUUGUUGGUGGGGUAAUGGCCUACCGAAGGCGACGAUCGGUAGCUGGUCUGAGAGGAUGAUCAGCCACACUGGGACUGAGACACGGCCCAGACUCCUACGGGAGGCAGCAGUGGGAAUUUGGACAAGUGGGGGCAACCCGUGAUCCAGCCAUCGCCGCGUGACGGGAAGAACGGCCUUCGGGUUGUAAACCGUCGUUUAACGUUCGGGAAGAAAAGACGAACGGCCAAUAACCCUGUGUUACUUGGACCGGUUACGGACGGAAUAAGCAACCGG
Molecule: ribosomal RNA, 488 nt
Filed under: uncultured soil bacterium
Lineage: Bacteria
Description: bacterial SSU rRNA
Rfam family: Bacterial small subunit ribosomal RNA
Source: RNAcentral